AUUCAUUGUGUUUGUGCUGCAAGUUUUAUGAACUGGUUAUAAAGCUUAUGUAUGAAGAACCGUUUACUGCCUGGUUAGCUGCAGUAGAGCACUCAUAGGAAUUGGGAGAUCUGUGGAAUCCCUUUGUGGCUUGCAAAUUUCAACCUGUUUUCAAAAAUUGCUUAGUUGGUCAGUGUGUUAAUAUUUCAAUUUUCAGGUCUGGUAAAGAAAGUUAUUUAAAGGCAGUGUGCAAGGUUUUCCUUAAUAAUAGCAUGUACACAGGAAAAAAAAGCUUAAUAUUAGAUAUUUUGUUAUAAUCAGUUUGUGGUCCGUCCAUAGCUAAACAUGAACAUAGAUAUUUUUUACUUUUAUUAGUACUAUAUACAUAUUAUAAAUAAAAGGUUGUAUCUUGCAUCUUCUAAUCCUUAAAGUUGCAUGGUGGCCUAGUGUGUGUGUUGUUUAUCUAUGAAAUUUAUACAUGUAUACUAAUAUCUAGGCUACAUUAUGAUGUACUUCUCAAAGAACAGUAUGUUUAAAAUGCAGGUUUAUACUAAUUUAAAUACAGGUACAAAUUAAUCCUGUGUUGUAUAUAGCAGAAUGUCCCUUAUUUUCACUGUUAUCUUUUACAACUGUUCAGGUACACUUCACCUGCAUAAAACUAGUUCAGAUAUAUAUGUCCCAUAGAGCAAAACAAUUGUCACUAAAUCAUUGUAUAAUCGUUAUUGGCAGUUCACUUCUGUAGUUUCUGAAAUGAAAAAUUGUUGUUACCUACCUUCACUCUUAAUUCAGUUUUAGUGGAAUGCUUAAUUUCAUUUUUUUUUCUUUAUUAGUUGUAAGUAGUGGGCUCUGUGUUCUGAUUAGUUCCUAAAUUGAACACAUGUUUAAACGUCGGUUGUUAAAUUGUAUAACAUGUUAAUGCAGAAUUGUACCAUAACAUGAAAUUGUAUUUUUUGCUUUGUACAUUGUUUGAAAUGUUACCAUCUUGUUUCUAAUAAAUGUUUUUUAUAAUUCACCAUCUAGUCCUAUUUGCAAAAAAGUGAACCAUUUAAAUAUUGUAUUUAAAGUAUACACCCGUUAGCCUUACUUAAGUCGUGAACAUUUCGUAGGCAUUUGUUAUCCCCAGUAAUAGGCGGAGGGAUAUUGUUUUGGCGCUGUUUGUCCGUCCUUCCGUCCGUCCGGCACUUUUGUGUCCAGAGCCAUAUCUUGUUAGUGCUUUAGCGGAUUUCAUUGAAACUUGGUAUGAGUAUAUUAUAUGGAUAAGAGGAUGAUGUACACUUUGUAUCUUGAAAAAAAUGCUUUUUAAUAUAAUCUUAGAGCUUUAUCUUCACUAACACAUGAGCCAGAGCCAUGAAACUUGCCAUAGUUGUUCUCAAUCAUCUAGGGGUGCUUCACAUUCAACAUCCAUAAUUCUAGGGGCUAAGGUCAUGGCCCUUUGUAUCUUGAAAAAAAUGCUUUUUGAUAGAAGCUUAGAGCUUUAUCUUCAUUAACACAUGAGCCAGAGCCAUGCAACUUUCUAUAGUUAUUCCAAUCAUCUGGGGUUGUUUCACAUUCAACACCCAUAAUCCUAGGGGCUAAGGUCAAGGUCACACAUUGAGGUCAAAGGUCACAAAUUUGAGGAAUUAUUCAUUAAUUGGUAAUUCCUUUACUAUGCAUCAAGGAAUUCUGUUAUAACUGUCACAAUUGUUCUCAAUUAUCUAGCUGAGUUUCAAAUAUAAGAUCCAGGUUGCUAGGGUCAUGGUCAAAGUCACACACAAAGGUCAAAAUCACACAUUUUGAUCAUAUAUAUAUAUAUAUAUAUAUAUAUAUAUAUAUAUAUAUAUAUAUAUAUAUAUAUAUAUAUAUUAAAACUCAGACCCCACAUAGAUUGCAACCGUCAAUAUUUUCUACACCGAAGUACCAUUAAAAGACCAGUAUUGUUAGUGAGUAUGCACAUUAAGAUCUUAUGCUGAAUGUUCAGUUGGAGUAUGAAUGCUAUUCCAACCACUAUUUCACUUUUAAAAUAUGUAACCACCAAUUGCGAGUCCGCAUGCAAAGAUGUAUUGUAUUUAUUAAAUUUAGAAUUUCUAAAUUCUGGAUAUUAUUUAGAGUAGCAGCAAUCUCAACAUUUCUUACACAAAUUUUAUUCUGUUAAUAAGACGUGUAUAGUAUAGUGCAGGUUAUAAUCUGUUUUUAAAACUAUUAUAUCUAAACAUGUAAUAUACUUUUCUAUUAUUGCAUAAAAAUAGUCAUGUAUUAGUUUUAAUACAUUUUAAAAGUACAUAGGUGAGACUGUAUCAAUUUACUGAUGUUUUUAUCAGUGUAAAUAAUGAAUAACAUGUAUGUACAUUAAGGUCCCUUAUAAGUCUUUUGUUGAACGGUCAUAUAGAAUGCAAUGUAUCUAUUUUAUGAAUGUUGAAAGACAUUUGUACAAUACAUUGUAUAUAGACUGGGACUAUAACAAUGAACUAAAAUUGCUUGCUAAAACAUUUGAAUGAAGUUGAAGAAAGGUAACUCUUUAGGGCUUAAAAAUGGUUGGCAAUAUGGUUCGAGUUACUUCCCUUCAAGCUUACGUGUGGCUAGCAAUUUUACUUAAUACAUUAUGAAAACUGAUUUUAAGUUGAUAUUACAUUGGAGAUUUAUAUUAUCACCACGAUUCAUCUUAAUCAAGGAAUGACCAUGGUAAUUGGAAGAUCUUUUAAGAUGUGUAAUUGUUUGCGCAAUAAUGCAUUUUGUAAUGACGGGCACUAUAUUGGAAGUGUAUGGCAUUCUUGAUAGGGUCGGUGGUGGUAAUGUAGUUUUUACCAUGUAUAGUCAUGAUAGUCAUGUAACGUACAUUGAUAAGCGUUGAAUAAGUCUCUUAUAAUUCCUUUCAUGAAUGGCCAAUGUUGUAUCUAUAGCUUUAUGUUUUAUAUAUGCAUUGUGAAAAUUGUAAAUAUUGGAUGAGACUAUAAUAAACUAUAAAACGUG
Molecule: long non-coding RNA, 2925 nt
Organism: Dreissena polymorpha
Lineage: Eukaryota; Metazoa; Mollusca; Bivalvia; Myida; Dreissenidae
Exons: 2
Source: RefSeq, a predicted model, not a curated record